This 227-nucleotide long non-coding RNA is filed under the name Musa acuminata (dwarf banana). RNAcentral describes it as "long non-coding RNA (MACU_LNC001044)". Lineage: Eukaryota; Viridiplantae; Streptophyta; Magnoliopsida; Zingiberales; Musaceae. The record is from RNAcentral.
CACUAAAACAAGUUAAAGAAUCAUAUGGUAUGGAUCAUUAAUUGUAGCAGUCUAGAUUAUACUUUUCAUGCUAUAUGAAUUGUUUUUCAUAAGAUUUCAUCUGAAUGAUUAAUUAGUUUCUCAGGAGUUAAAUCUGUGAGUGUGAUGGAGGAGGAGAUGAGGAUGGUGAAGGAGAAGGAAGAGGUCCAACAGGUUCUUACCUUUGUCCCACAGUGGCAAGGCCAGGU